AGCAGCCGCGGUAAUUCCAGCUCCAAUAGCGUAUAUUAAAGUUGUUGCAGUUAAAAAGCUCGUAGUUGAAUUUCGGGAUCAAUACGUCGGUCGUGCUUCGGUACGUACUGGCGUAAUUGAUUUCUCCCUUCUGGCGAACCAUGAUGUCAUUAACUUGGUGUCAUGGGAAAUCAGGACUGUUACUUUGAAAAAUUAGAGUGUUUAAAGCAGGCUCACGCUUGAAUACAUUAGCAUGGAAUAAUGAAAUAGGACGUUCGAUCCUAUUUUGUUGGUUUUUAGGAUCAACGUAAUGAUUAAUAGGGAUAGUUGGGGGCAUUAGUAUUCAAUUGUCAGAGGUGAAAUUCUUGGAUUUAUUGAAGACUAACUACUGCGAAAGCAUUUGCCAAGGAUGUUUUCAUUAAUCAAGAACGAAAGUUAGGGGAUCGAAGACGAUCAGAUACCGUCGUAGUCUUAACCAUAAACUAUGCCGACUAGGGAUCGGAUGAUGUUAAUUUUUAAUGUACUCAUUCG
This 510-nucleotide ribosomal RNA is filed under the name uncultured Glomus. RNAcentral's name for it is "SSU rRNA". It matches the Rfam family "Eukaryotic small subunit ribosomal RNA", at positions 569 to 1082 of the family's 1831-position model. The record is from RNAcentral. Lineage: Eukaryota; Fungi; Glomeromycota; Glomeromycetes; Glomerales; Glomeraceae.